AUCUGAGUAGUUUAAGAAAAACUUCUCAUUUUCGUUGAGGCAAAGAAUUAUAUAAAAUUCCUUAGAUU
This 68-nucleotide transfer RNA is filed under the name Lepas anatifera. RNAcentral's name for it is "tRNA-Glu". Lineage: Eukaryota; Metazoa; Arthropoda; Thecostraca; Lepadidae. The record is from RNAcentral.